CCUACGGGAGGCAGCAGUGGGGAAUAUUGCGCAAUGGGCGAAAGCCUGACGCAGCGACGCCGCGUGAGGGAUGAAGGUCUUCGGAUCGUAAACCUCUGUCUGCAGGGAAGUACCGUCACUUUGCUAAUCAGCAUUGAAUUGACGGUACCUGCAAAGGAAGCACCGGCUAACUCCGUGCCAGCAGCCGCGGCAAUACGGAGGGUCGGUGCGUUAAUCGGAAUUACUGGGCGUAAAGCGCGCGUAGGCGGUAUGGCAAGUGAACGGUGAAAUGUCCGGGCUCAACGUGGGAACUGCCUCUUGAACUGGCGAGCUGGAGUGUGCGGAAGGCAAGUGGAAUUCCAGGUGUAGGGGUGAAAUGCGUAGAUA
Molecule: ribosomal RNA, 366 nt
Filed under: uncultured bacterium
Lineage: Bacteria
Description: partial 16S ribosomal RNA
Rfam family: Bacterial small subunit ribosomal RNA
Source: RNAcentral